RNAcentral lists this ribosomal RNA (398 nucleotides) under Carnobacterium sp. AZTITEMP49. RNAcentral describes it as "partial 16S ribosomal RNA". It matches the Rfam family "Bacterial small subunit ribosomal RNA", at positions 978 to 1378 of the family's 1533-position model. Lineage: Bacteria; Bacillati; Bacillota; Bacilli; Lactobacillales; Carnobacteriaceae. The record is from RNAcentral.
GUCUUGACNUCCUUUNNNNNNCUAGAGAUAGAGCUUUCCCUUCGGGGACAAAGUGACAGGUGGUGCAUGGUUGUCGUCAGCUCGUGUCGUGAGAUGUUGGGUUAAGUCCCGCAACGAGCGCAACCCUUAUUACUAGUUGCCAGCAUUNAGUUGGGCACUCUAGUGAGACUGCCGGUGACAAACCGGAGGAAGGUGGGGAUGACGUCAAAUCAUCAUGCCCCUUAUGACCUGGGCUACACACGUGCUACAAUGGAUGGUACAACGAGUCGCAAGGUCGCGAGGCCAAGCUAAUCUCUUAAAGCCAUUCUCAGUUCGGAUUGUAGGCUGCAACUCGCCUACAUGAAGCCGGAAUCGCUAGUAAUCGCGGAUCAGAACGCCGCGGUGAAUACGUUCCCGGG